GGGGUUGUAGCUUAAUGAUACAGCACUUGCCUAGCAUGUGUGAAGCACUGGGUUCAAUUCCCAGCACCA
Ictidomys tridecemlineatus (thirteen-lined ground squirrel) is the source of this 69-nucleotide non-coding RNA. The record is from Rfam. Lineage: Eukaryota; Metazoa; Chordata; Mammalia; Rodentia; Sciuridae.